GACAGAGGGGGCAAGCGUUGCUCGGAAUUACUGGGCGUAAAGGGCGCGUAGGCGGGAUGGCAAGUCGGUCGUGAAAUCCCUCGGCUCAACUGAGGAUCGUCGAUCGAUACUGCCGUUCUUGAGGAUUGCAGAGGAGACUGGAAUUCCCGGUGUAGCGGUGAAAUGUGUAGAGAUCGGGAGGAACACCGGUGGCGAAGGCGGGUCUCUGGGCUGAUACUGACGCUGAGGUGCGAAAGCGUGGGGAGCAAACAGG
This 253-nucleotide ribosomal RNA is filed under the name uncultured bacterium. RNAcentral's name for it is "partial 16S ribosomal RNA". It matches the Rfam family "Bacterial small subunit ribosomal RNA", at positions 524 to 776 of the family's 1533-position model. The record is from RNAcentral.